AUGACAUGGAUAACUACGUGAUUUUUUUUACACGCUGGCAAGCCACGUGGGCAAAACGACGUCGUUUUGAUAUUUUGAAGAAUUUCCAAAAUAAAAAAAAUAAAAAAAUAAAAGAAAUCCUAAAAUCCAGCGAGCAUUCCACUACUUUCUUCCUACUCUAGGCGGUUCGCCGCGCUGCCGUCACCAUUUUCAGAAUCCGGCGAACCAUCACCGGUCUCCCCUUCCGAUUCAAAGGCUGAGCAACAUGACUCCACCCCUUCGAAACACCACCGCAAACACCAAGGCAAAAAUCACACUCCACG
This 302-nucleotide long non-coding RNA is filed under the name Salvia miltiorrhiza (redroot sage). RNAcentral describes it as "long non-coding RNA (SMIL_LNC002278)". The record is from RNAcentral. Lineage: Eukaryota; Viridiplantae; Streptophyta; Magnoliopsida; Lamiales; Lamiaceae.